AGAUUAAGAAGUUUUUCACUCCACCAGUGAUCCAGAAUUUCACCAUCGCGUUUACUCUUUUCACAGUCUUUCUCCAUCUCUCUUCUUCCGGCGAUUCUUCCACCGUCGCAACCCAAACCGCGCCACAAGCUAAACCCUAACGCGGCGUCACUUCAUUCACGUUCAACGCCGAUCGUCCGCUUUCGUCUCCGCUCUUGUAGUUCUCUCGCUCUCAUCGCGGUUACGACCCAGGUCGCUCCCUUCCCUUGUCUUCGCCGUGUCGAGUCAGCCAUAAAAAGCUCUGUGGAUUCUUAGAGAGUAAUGUGAUUCAAUGGGGAAGAUAGUUUCAAAGUUCCUGCUGAGGACUUGUUGCAUCUAGUUGAAGCAUUAAGUUGUUAUUACUGAGCUUCAUUCGGAUGAUGCUAAGAGAGUUAUUGAGGCAUUAUGUAUACUUGUCAUAUCUUCUUUACAGGGGUGUCAAAACGGAGUUAGAAAUGCAGCGGGAUGGGAAUCGUAGUAUUGUUCUUGAUGUUAAAACUCUGCGUGUUGCACUACCAGUGCAGGGACAUCAAUGUGGGUAACUUUGAUCGUGGUGCUGUUAAGCCUGCUGAAUUUGGGAUGGCCAAUCAAUUCCUCCAAGUCGUCGUCGUUGAAGCCGCCGCCAUCGUCGCUUGUCGCCCAUCACACCGCCGUCAUCGCUCUGCUCGUCGUUGCCAUUUCAGACUUUUAGCGGUUCUGCAACUAAACACAUUUUAUAUCGCACUUAAAAGUGUGAUGGUUACGCACCAAAAACUCAUUCAACUUCUGUAAUUAAAGCAAAAAUCGUUGGAAUCUAAAUAGUCUUCCAUGCAUUGUAAAUAUUGCUUUGAAUGUGGACGUCACACUUUGGAAUCCAAACGACCAUCAAUUUUUCUCAA
Long non-coding RNA from Lotus japonicus, 896 nucleotides. RefSeq lists it as uncharacterized. The transcript has 6 exons. The record is from RefSeq and is a predicted model, not a curated record. NCBI's taxonomy places the organism in Eukaryota, Viridiplantae, Streptophyta, Magnoliopsida, Fabales, Fabaceae.